Long non-coding RNA from Felis catus (domestic cat), 4313 nucleotides. RefSeq lists it as uncharacterized. The record is from RefSeq and is a predicted model, not a curated record. The transcript has 5 exons. Lineage: Eukaryota; Metazoa; Chordata; Mammalia; Carnivora; Felidae.
GUAGGCUGCAGAAAAUUUCACAGAACUGUAAAUGUUUUCUGUUAGGUUAGUGAGUCAUUAAAUUAAAAAGAAAGAGAACUACAUGUGUGAGACAGUUGCACAGCUAUAGCUGAGAAGAUAUUCAAAUCACACGUAAGAUUUAGGGAUUAAUCCAUUUUAGAUCAUAAUUGCCUCUAUUCACCUUUCUCUGUGGCAUGGAUUAUGGAGAGCCGAUUAUAUUACUUGUAAUCCUUGCUUUAAAAACUAGAAACUCAAUUUUGAUAUUUUCAUCAAAAUAUUUGCUAUCAACACACACACACACACACACACACACACACACACACCAAUGCAAACAACCAAUCCAGCUCAACAAUCCUAUGCAUUUAUCACGUAUACUACAAUUAAUGUUAAAUUAGUGCCAAGUAUCAUGUCAUUAAAGAAGACAUACCUUUUAGGUGAAAAGCUAUAAAUAGCAGUGCAGAUCUCUUUACACUUAAGAAGGGGAAUUUGGGCUUUAAGCAUCCUGCUGCAUUCAUUGCUUUAAUUAGUGAAGUUGCAAUACCCUGCAGGUAGGGAACAAUGUAAAUCAUAUGUAUAUUUGAAUUUGGUUUCUUCUCUUAGUAGCAAAUAGAUAAAGAGGCUAUUCUUUGCCUCUGAUAGCCUCCUGGGGCUUAUAAAGGUGGUUAGAUGCCCACUUAACCAACAAGAAAGGAACACAAAGUACAUUUGAUUAGGAAGAAUGAAAAUUACAAAUUGGCUGAAUGUCAGGAAGGUGAUGGAUACAUGGGCUUCAUUACACAAUUCUUUCUAUUUUUGUAUUUGACAUUUUCCAUAACCGAAUGUUAAAGACAAAAGAAGGGGUUCCUGGGCUCUGAGUUGUCUCGGCCCAUUUUCUACUUCCAUUGCCAGAGCUGACCAGAUUGCCUCUGCUAUCAGGACUCCUGACCACCUGGCAAGGAAUUCCAGAGACCACAGUUGUCACUACGGUAGAUUCUGAAGCCCUGAGCGGGCAGAGAAGAUGUGAGGCCCUCCUGGUGAAAUGUGGCCUUUUAUGAGAAUACUCCUCUAUGGGUGAGCCUCAUCUUGCCUUUUGAUAGUAAACCGGAUUGAAGGCUCACCAUCUAGGCAAGUCAAAAAAAAUGAUGUGGCUAAGAAUUUGUGAGAAAGGUAUGAAAUUAUUUAUGCCCCAGGCAUUAAUUUUAUAGAAUUAAAAAAAAAACUUUUAAAAUAGUGGUUGAUUAUUAGUGAAUUUUAUUCUGUGUAAAAAGAGUUAUAUUUAGAUAAAUAAAGUGUGACUUGAGUAGCAUUUGGGGGCAUUUGCCCCUAGAUUUGGGGCAAAAUAUGACUUUGGUGGUUUAGCUGUGGUGCUUUUGCAACUCAACACUUUUGAGCAGUGACUAAACCUCUCAGAGACUGAAUCUUCAUAUUACAAAUUUAAAAAUAAGAAAAUUUAAAUAAGAAUCUAACCACAAGUCAACCGUAAAUAAUUUCAUGACAAUCUACUCUCUCUUCAUUUUCCUGCAGGUAUUUGGGGAUUAGCUACAGAACCAAGGGUUUUUCUCACUUCUUCUUUUCACAACCACCCAUAAUCAAAAUAGGUUAAGAGUGGAUUUACAGCUUAAAAAUCAGAAAACUCUGCCUUCAGUUUCAUUGUUACCAAAAUAAAAAUUAUUAAAAAAAACAGAUCGUUGUACUCUACUAAUACAUGAACAUAGACAACCAUGUAACUGAACCUGUUCCAGAUAUCCAGGCAAAGGAAGACUUGUGAGGUGUAUGGGCUCCUUUAAUGGGGGCAGUUUGUAUGGAAGCUUCUGAUUCCAGUAUUUCUGCGGCAACCUAAGAACACAAAGUUCAUCAGAUGGAUGCUCACACAUAUACUCACCGUGAGGACAUAGGGAUGUGAAUGUACAGGAGACGACUAAGAGGUACAGUUCAGCAGCUGGUUUUCUCCACUGGGGAGAACAUGACAAGGGAGAAGGUCAGAGCUGGAGCUCCUAGAGUACACAGACACAUUUAAUGAUGGUUCCCUGUACAGAAGCUAUGAUGACUCCCUGUGGACACUUGGGCAUGUCGGGAAGAAGCAGACUAUCGGGACUGUAAGGACCUUGCAAUCAUCAGGAACAAGACAGAUUCCUUCAGCUGUUGACUUGAACUCACUGUGACAUAUUGAGUGCCUGCUGAGCCAGAAGCAGCUGCCACUGGGAGGAAAGGGGAGGCUGCCACGGAGGGAAUGCAGAGACCCCCCUUCUUUGCAGUGGGCCAGAUGGCAGGGCAUGGGAAAUAUUCCAUUUGGUUCUCCUUCUUAGAGAGGAUGUGCUGUGGAAGGGCUUGCUGUAAAGACUGAUGCACAUCUAGAGCAGUAUGUUUUAUGUCCUUUCUUGGCAACCUGACCUGAUUGGGAAAUAGCUCCUGGAUGGAGAGUAACUACUCUUUCAAAGGAUUGAAGUGAUGAUCUAUAAGCCAAGGAAUGCAGAAGAUUUCUGGAAACAGUGGAAGCUAAGAGAAAGACAUGGAAUAGAUUCUCUCCUAGAGACUUCAGAGACACUUGUUCACUCGAUAAGACAAGCUGCCAUGUUGGAAAGGACUAUAUGGGAAGGAACUGAAGGUGGUCUCUGGGCCAACAGCCAGCAAGGAACUGAGGCCCUCAACCCAACAAUCCUCAAGGAACAAAAUCUUGUCAACAAUACAUGAACGAAUGUGGUGGUAGAUUCUUUCUCAGUUGGGCCUUCAGGUAUGUCUGCAUAUAUUUAUUCACCAUUUGAACUUUCUUAAUGACUUCAUUCCACACCCACCAUUUGCUGUGAAAUCCAUCAAUCACAUACCAGUUCUGAUGUUGUUCUUGAUAAUAUUGCCUAAUCUCAUUAAUAUUUUUGCGGUGUUUUGAGUUUUUGACUGCCAUAAUUUGUGUGCUAUUGUGCAGUGGAUAAGGCAAACUAAUAAAGAAACAGAAUGAAUGGAAAAAGUUGUAAAAAACAUACUUGUUUCCUGGAUGAUUAAAGUUCAUUUCUUUAUCAUUGCUUUCAUCACACACAUUACCUUGGUUCCUUUUUUUUCUCCAGGAACAAUCUUUUGAAAAUCUCCUUGGAAGGCACAUCCAGCUCAAAGAUGACCAUGGGAAUGAUUGACCUAGAUUCCAGGAGGCUGAUUUGAUACUUAGUUACAGGAUAGCCAUCGAUGACAACACUAACAAGGGGAAACAUGAAAAUAAUUCCAGAUUUCUUUUCUCUCAUACCUUCCUUCCUGUUUUCUAGAAGCAGUCUAUCUCUUUAGGAGUAGCCCCAUGGCCUUCCUUGUGUAACUUGAUUUAUUGUCUUUGUACUUUGCCCUCUUUAUCUCUAUAUUUUUAACUUCAGUCAGCCCAAGAGCCAGGUGUAGGGCAGCAUACAUACAGACACAGCUCUGAAUUCAUACACUUAGCAUCACAGAGCUAGGCUUUGGCAGAAUUCAAGAGAACACACAUAAUACCUUGAGCAUUGUGUUAUUCAAUUGGCGCUAUUACUUUAAGAAAUGAAACAGUGGAAAGAGUAUAGGUUUCAGAGGCAGACAGACUUAGAUUUGAGACCUAGUUUGACCUCUCUGAGUGCCAGCUUUUAGUAAAAUAGGGGAGAUGAUAUUUAACCCUUACAGUUGUCUUAAAGACUUAUAGAUCUAGUAUGUAAAGCAACUAGAACAGGAACUGGCACAAUGAAUAGUAUCCUAGUAAGAGAUUAAGCAAAUAUGGGAAAACAGUUGUGCUCUAAGCUUGCUUUUAUACUAAAGUUCUGUGGGGAGGCCGGCGAGUGGGAGGAGAGACAGGGAGUUGGUGAGAGUAGCCCUGUGAUAUCUGAGAAAGAAUGUUCCGUCAGGACCCAUCAUGCCUCUGAGCAGAAAUGACAGAGAAUUUAAGUUAGUCCAACAGUCUGAGAUAAUGAGAGUAUUACUAUCAAACUCAGAUGAGGAAUAAAGGCUGUCCACAAAUUCUGGGAGGAGUGACCCCCAAGGUCUGGAAACUCCCUCUGAGGUGGGAGCAGGCUGGGCCUGCCAGCUGGUGGUCUUCAAGAGGGGCUAGUUUAGAGGAAGUCACAGGACCCCCUCACUCCGUGCUCUAUGGCCAAGUCUCUAGGCAGUAGUUCUAAGUUCCAUGGCAGAGAGAACUGUAAAUCAAUGUAGCCAGGCAAACCUAAUAGAGAACGUUAUGGGAGUGCCAUUGAUGUUUUGAGGUUUUUUUAAUGGAGAGUAGCUCAAUUUCUUUGCUUGCGAAAGGUUGCUUGAGUGACCGUCAGGAUUAGAAACAUUCAGGGUGAUUAGGCAGUCACUAUCCUGGUGUUAAGAUGAAAUAAAACAUUUGUGACUCA